Molecule: microRNA precursor, 207 nt
Organism: Oryza sativa Indica Group (long-grained rice)
Lineage: Eukaryota; Viridiplantae; Streptophyta; Magnoliopsida; Poales; Poaceae
Rfam family: MIR812 microRNA precursor family
Source: Rfam
AAAAAGACAAACCCUAGAUUUGCGUGUCCAACUUUGUCUGUCCGUCUUAUAUGAAAUUUUUUUUAUAAUUCGUAUUUUUAUUGUUGCUAGAUGAUAAAACAUGAUUAAUACUUUGUGCGUGACUUGUCUUUUUAUUUUUUUUCAUAAUUAUUUCAAAUAAGACGGACGGUCAAAAAUUGGGCACGGAAACCAGGGUUUGUCUUUAUU